CCUUUGGGAGUGAAAGGUGUUUCACGUGCACCCCCUCUGCCCGGCGGUCUGGGAACCAGUGGAGGAAAAUCAAGCGGUGCAAACUUGUCCGGCGUCCAAAAUCUACUCUAAAAGAGGAAAAGACUCGUGAGAGGAAUCGGAGGCCGUUUAAUCCAACUGUGGUGAGAAUUUCCAGCUUAAACCGGCGGAUUAAAUUUACAAACGAGUCCACCUUUAUUUUGAUCCCCAUGAUGCAGUCACAGGAUGUAUGUGACGUCACCCCUGAUCCACAGUCCGUUCCAGAGCAGGUUGAGUUUGAUUGUUUGUAUGAAACCACCAACCAAGAGGGCGGCUACUUCUGCAACCAGCUGCUUAAUGGUAUUCAGGAGUACUUGGUUUGGUUUGGUCUACGUAAUAAAUUAUUAAAUGAAUGCUGUAUUGAAGAAGACUUGGAAAUAGAGAUAAACAUACAAUGUUUACUGAGGGAAUAAAUCAAGAGAGUCAUUUUCUCUUGGACUUCUAUAGGACCAGUGGAGUCGCUCCCUGGUGGUCACCUGAGAGAAUGCAGCUUCAACACGUCGUAUCGUAGAAACGUUUCGUUUGACUAAGUCUCUUCCUCCGCUGAACGAGCAGCUUGUUGGAACCAGACUUCUCCUCCUCUGGCUGAGGACAAAGAGAAACAUCUGGAGGUCAAGACUUCCACCUCUGGUUUAAGAAUAAUAAUAAAACAACAAGCUGAAGCGUCCGACACCACCACCCGUCUCGGGUUUCCUCCGGCGGGGUCGGACGUGGGUGUCGGGGCGGCCGUUCACCGGUGUGAGGCCUCAACAAUUAGCAUGCUGAUUCCGCAUGUAAUCAGAUCGCCCCGGGAUGCUCGCCGGUCGGCUUCUAUACAUCGGGCCGGGCGCCGGCGUGGGACCGCCGCAGCUUUCUGAUUGUCUUCAACGCAGCAUAUGCUAAUUGCUGAUUGUCUCCAAUAUUAUAUGCUAAUUGUUAGGAAUUAGCAUAAAUCAUUAACAUUUGGGCCCUAAUUACACAAUGAAAAAAAGGAAGAGUGAAAACCACUCGGCUUGUGCUCCGACUUCCUAAUGUGUGAUGCGAUUAAUGCGGCGCUCAUUUGCAUCCCGGAGAAGGAGCCUGAAAUAUUAAAAGUGUUGUUCGGAGAAAAUCGUGAUUAGUCCCUAAUCAAAUGUUGUUUCUGCCGUUUUGAAAGGUGUAACAGUGUCGGCCCUCAGGUGAGAGGAAGCUCUCAGAAACUCGCAGAGCAACAAUCCCCCCCACUGCGCCCCCCGACCCCCCCAAGCAUGCAAAUGAGUCCCGGAUCAAAAUGUGCAAUUAGCGGCAAGGCUUCUUUUUUGAGGGGAUUUAGAGAAACAAAUGAACGUGGAGUCGUGGUUGAGGAUUCUCUUUGAUGUCUGCGGUUUAUCUCGUGUUAAUGAGGCGCUCAAACAAAAAGAAACAACCAAAUUGCUUUGAUUUCAUCAUAAUUGUAGUCGCGGGUCUGUUCACAUCGUUUAGCCGCCGGCGAGAAAACAAGCCGAUAUUCCACCGCGGUACAAACACGGUGGUGCUCGAGUACCAGUCCGUGGUUAACGAGGUAAAAGUACUCAGAGGAGACACGAAAAGUAUCCUGUGUCUCCGGGACAAUUGGGAAAGAAGAAAGACGGAGGCGAGAACGUCAAGAUGAAAAGUCAAAAGAAAUGAAGGGAAAAAGUAGAAGGAAUUAAAGGAGAGAAGGACACAAGGAAAGGGAUUCAAACUGAAAGGUGAGGAGGCGAAGAAGGAUAAAAUAAGAAAAGAAAGAAAUACAUAAGGUCACUUCCUGUUGACCAUAUAUGAGUCAAAUCGUCAGCCCACGAACCACGUCUGCGUCUCGCACUCGUCACUUCUAAGCUGAUCAAAAUGAAGAAUGAUUUAAUGAAUGUUGUGAAAGCAGAGACCUGCGACCCGCCGGACCUCUCCGCUCGGCCUCCGGGACCAACACCGGCCCUCCGACGGCUUCCUCCUGUUAACAGCAGCCCGGGUCGAGCUCCCAGGGCCACAUGUCGGAGGAGGGGAGGGGGGGGGGUUCACCUCCAAGGUAAUUGAAACAAGGGCUUUUGUAAGAAUCUGCUUGCAAUCCACAGGAGAGGGGGCAAAGAGGGGAAGAAUGAGAGCUUUAAUGAAUGGAGGCCGUCAUUAAAAUGAUACCCAUUUCCUCUGAGAUCACUUCCAAUUUAAAUGUGAGGGGGGAAAAGAGAAAAGGCGUAAUUGAAAGAUCUUUUUUUUCUGCCUUCUGCCAUUCAAACUGUAAAUUUGAAUCUGGGGGAGAAGAGGGAGAUUGUUUGUGGCCAUAGCUCACUAGUUCCAAUUACUCUUUUUUUUUUUUUUCCUGCUGCACUGGGAGCCACAAGGGAGACUCCCAACGCUUCAACCCCCCCCCCCCCAAAAAAACCCUGAGAAGCAGCCGUGUUUUCUUUGGACCGGCGGCGGUCAAAGGGAACAGAUCCCUAUCAGAUAGUUCGGGGAUGGAUUGAAACAGACGUGAGGGAUGACUUAAUUGAUAAACAAUGAGGCUGAGGUAGUUUUUUCUCCAGCGGAGCAGCUGCGCACACAGUCACACCUCCAGUCCUGUAAUUCAACAUCAGGACGGCCGCAGAUGUGCAGCAGCUCAGUGACUCACUGAGUCGCUCUUUUGUGUUUUCAAAGACAUUUGGAGCCAUUUAGAUAAUUCUGUCCUUGUUCUGUGUUGCUUUCACACCACCCGCAACUAAAUCAAAACCAAUCCAUCCAUUUGAAUCCAUAUUCAGGAAAAAAAAGGCGGGAAAAGGGAACACUGCAUCUCCUGCAUGGACGUUUGUCACACUGGAGGAGCUGGGUGGGUCAAGUUUGUUCAACGGUUGUGACAUCAGCGUUCUCACACUCAACCGCUGCAGGUGACGCGUGUGGGAGGAGCCUGUGAGCGGGACAUCCCGGCAGGCUCAUGGUUAAAGCGUGAAUUUUUCCUACUUAUGUUGUUUAAGCCACCCUUUGCAGGGAAGGCCGUUUCUUUCCAAAUCAACCUUCUUUCUCUCAGGGUUUGGCUGCGGUUGUUGAGAUGAGACGUCAUCACCUCGACAUCAGUAACAACAAAUAAAAUAAAAACAAAAUCAACACCUGAUCUGUAGCAACCAAAUAACAUACAGGUAAGAAAGUCAUCAUACAUUUAUGAAGUCAAAUACAUCCAAUGUUUGUUUGACACAGAGAUAAUGUUUUGCUAUAAUCCCAAAUCCAAUGAAAGAAUCCCUGUGGGCGCAGGGAUGCUAACUUCCUAUUGAACCAGAUAAAUACGCUUUCCCUGCAGCGGCCAUAAGAAGAGACAUUUUUUUAGGGACUUUAAGCAGAAGCCCGCACGCACAACGAUGCUGCGGCGUGUUUUAGUUCAUGAGUAAGAUAAUUGAAAGCCAUUAUGAGCCACAUUAUCGUACUGUCACCCUGCAGGGACGCUGCGCUCUGCAGUCUGAACUAAACUCACAGUCCAGAAUCACUGCUUACUUCAGCGUUUACAACGUGGCCGAGCAUCUGUCGGGGGGAAACCGGGCUGCACCACAUUGCACCUGACAGUCUGACGCAAACGCACAAAAAAUGUUGUUGCGUGAGAAAGUGUUGCGUGAGAUGUUAUUUACUGCAAACACAGGACGUCCAAGAACGCGUCAAAUUAAAGUGAUGCAAGCGCUCAGCAUUCCUCACACAAUCGAGGCGGUUCGGGUGCGUCGGCGUGUUUAUCAAAGAAAUGACUGAUCAUAAUAUCAGCCUUAUUGGUCUCAACAGAAAUGCCACAACCAUCUCGCAGAUUACUCCUUGAUGAGGAAAAUGCAAUUAAAACGUCAAGUGCGUUUUAUUAGAUUCUACCCACCCUGCAGGGUUUUAGCAGCCCCGGGGGUCCCCGGAUGCCCGGGCGAUGGAUGGCAUAUAUAGAAGCAACAUUAGGAAGAGCCGUGCCAAAAUAACAGCCGCUCGCUCCCCCGGUGCUCCGCCUUUCAUCGCCGCACAAUGCCGAGCGCGUGCACGCCGCUUCGCGCUCUAGCGCCUCAGCGGAGGCCCGUGUGGAGGUCUGCAGACGCUUGGUUUGCACCGUCCCGUUUGAGCUCUGAGGAGGUGAUCGCAGGACUGCGUGUGCAGUACGUGUUCAUCUGCAGAGACCCGAGGAAGGUUAUUGUUUCCGCACAUUCACGCGGUGAAAAGCGACAGCGCGUUUCCUCCUCGUCACUGCACGCAAUGACCUGAAGAGCACGAAGGACAAGGGGAGCGAUUACGUAUCUUCCUUUUAAAAGAACACGAGGCAACUGGAGUGUCGUUGGAGAGCCACGAGAUCGAAGCCUGCAGCGCAUUUCAAACAAAGAAAGUUUUAGCGUGAAAAAACGUUGGUCUCCUGAGACCAAAGGUGUGUCUCACCUCGAUCUAAUAAUCGCUUUACAACAAGGCCGACCGUCCUCGUGCUUACACUGCACGAGGACAUCACACUGGCUGCUUCACCUGAGGAGUCGAAAUGCAUGCUGGGAUAUUAAUAAGCACAUGCCUGAGUCAGAUGUGGAAAAUGAGUUUAGUGUAUGAAAUGUCGGAGAAAAGUAGAGAAUGUGUCACCGUAUACUUUUUGCACAUGUUUUAUCUGUGUUGUAUUAGAGAAGAAUGAUACAUCGUACAUCAUGUUUAGUCUCUGGACUAGUUUUGAAGUUUUUGUUAGUUGCCAAACUGGAUCUUUUUGUCUCUCUUUCGCUCUAAGAGCAAUUUUCUAUUUCCGCUUUUUCCAUGUGAAUUAUCGGUUUUUAAGCUUCCCCUCUGAGUAAAGGGACCACUUGAACCAAGUUUUAAAAGCAGUCUUAAACAUCCGUUCACACGGAGACAUUAGACGUCCACGACCUGCGCUGGGAAGGUCAAAUAUUACUCACCUAAAACGUCCAAAGACAAACUUUGUCCCCGCUCACAAAGCGCUUAAUGAAGAAGGUUUUACUCUCAGAGACACCGUGAAAUACCACUUUUACUCUUUAUGUCGGGCUUAAUUUUGCAUUAAUUACUUCAUUGGAGUGGAUGUGGCGUCAUGACCUUUAAAACGGGACUUUGUUUGGUUUCGCGUGAUGGGGCGCCGAUGACAGUGCAGCGGGGGAAAAACACAAAUAAAAAAAGGAGAUGGAAAAUAGAUCUUUUUAAUGGAGUUUAACAAUCGGUCUCUGGUGGACUCAUUAGGAUGACCAGUUUGACUUAUUUUACAGCCACUGGUAAUUAGUAUCGGCAGGAGUUAUAGCUGUAAUCAGCCAAGUUUUUCCCUUUGACUUUCCUCUUCGUUAGCCAUUAACUUUGGUGUUAUACUUGCUGCAGGAAGGCGGUCAAAUGUGUAAAAAGACAGCAGCCGUAAAACCAAUAAAACUGUAGGGUUCCUUCUGGGGAACUUUAAUACUUGCAGCGAUAUGAUAAUUCUUUUUACUUCAAAGCAGCCAUUAAAAAAAAUGACAAUUUUCAGUGCCUUUCAGCGGCUUGAUGGAGCCGCGAAGGCCUUGUUGGGUUUGACGUUAUUUUGGGUAACGGAGCCGCUCCUGUUGGCUCUGCAGGGGGUUCAGUGUUUCCUGAUAAAUAACAAACAGUAGAGACGCACGGUCUCUUCGGUGGCUAAAGACAAAUGUUUUAAAUUGUUUAUCAAAAGAAGUGUUUUACUUAUCAAAACAAUCCACAGCGGCACAUGAGAACAGUUGUAAGCGAGUGUGAGUUAAAAACAUAGAUGUACUUGUUAGAUGAAGCAUGGAUGAUAAACCACUAUUAAAUACAUUGAAGUGGCUUCAAACCAACCUUUCUAAUAUUUGAACAGUGUAUAAGUCUUCUCAUCUUACUUGAGGAAACAAAGAAGAAUAUGAUGAUUUUUUUUAACAUGCUGCAGAAUUUAAAGGUUUCCACAUUAUUAGAACUCUUUUAAAAAAAAUGAGAUUCAAACACUGUUUGAGGUUGAAAAUAGAAACUUCUCCAAGUUAUCACGAAGCAACAAGACCUGUCUGAACUCAUUUCAGCGUUGUUGUCUUUUUUAUAUCCUCCUCCUCUUUUUUUUUACUGCCCAUCUAAUGGCUUAUUUAUUACAUUCAUUCUUUAUAAGCCGGCUCCUGUGUGGCCUCAUUACGACUAUAGCACUGCUUUGGAAUUCCAGGAUAAUUAUGAGCUUCAUUGUUUUAAUAAGAGUCUUGGUCAGCGCCGGAUCUGGAGCUACGUCUUCACGGUUCCCAGGAGGGUGUGAGGAGGGGGGGAGGGGGCAAGAGCGCCGGACAGAUGGAGUCCGACGCACUGCAGGUAAAUAUUUAUGUGUGGAGGCUUGAAUCUCAUCAAUGGAUGCGGCCGCCUCAAUAAGUCUGUGACGCAACUUCAGCUGGUCCUUAAAUCAGACAAGUUAUUGAGACAAGUGGAAGGUCCUCACGGAGACCAGCAGAAGGUCCUCACGGAGACCAGCGGAAGGUCCUAAUGGAGACCAGCAGGUCCUCAUGGAGACCAGCAGAAGGUCCUCAUGGAGACUAGCAGGUCCUUACGGAGACCAGCAGAAGGUCCUCACGGAGACCAGCAGAAGGUCCUAAUGGAGACCAGCAGAAGGUCCUAAUAGAGACCAGCAGAAGGUCCUCACGGAGACGCCCACGUAGUCGACCGGCUCCUCGAUGUUGGCAUGAAGCUGCAGAGGAGCCUCACGUGUGCGUGUGGCCAUGAUUUAUGCACAUGCACAUCAAUGUGGCGUCGGCAGGCUCCUCCUUCAACGUCCGUCCAGCUCUUUAAACUUGAAAUUUCAAUGUAGGACUUUGAUGUAUUUGUUUUUGAUCAGUUUUCUGGCAUUUUGACUGGCUCCCUCACAUAGAUUACCUUAGAUGAGUACGGUUAAAUAAUGUAAAUCGAGUAUUACUUCUCUUUCUCAGCUUUCUGCGGAACUGAAACCACGUUUACUUUUCGCAUUUACUUACAAAAGAUCUUCAAAAAGACGACGUCCCGCCUCUGGAGCGCCAUGUUCUGCAGCUCCUCCAGACGCCACUCAACCUGCCGCCCCGCUGAGACGUCACCGGGCCUGUGAUGUCAGUGUGUGGCCCGUUUUGUCUACUUUACGGGCCGUGUUUUCCAUCAGGGGGGGAAAAGGGGGAGUCCAGAGCCCCCGGCCAUAAAUCUGUGACUCUCCUGGAGCAUCUUCAUCCAAGACAGAAACAUCUAUUUUUUGGUUGUCGUCUGCUGAGAUCAUUAAAGGUAUUAGUUCUUCAUUGAACAUGCUGAAUCCAUUGGUUGAGCAAGCAGCUGAGGGAGCGAUGGAGCGCUCACCCACCCAGACUGCGGAUUGAUUUAUUAACUCGAUGAUGACCGCUCCGCCUGAGGAAUGUCGAUGGAGGCGGAGACGCUUCGCCUCGGAACGACCGCGCCGCCGCCGGGCCGAAUGUUCCAAGCGUAAAAAGACCUUUGUUAGGGUGAGUUCAUUCCGAAUUCAGAACGGGACACUGUGACUGAGACGAGCGGAAAAGUAAAUGUUGUUUUUGAGGUUUUCUUUUUCAUAGUGUGCAGCCUUCAUGCAACAUGGAAUAUACAACUAAUGUCAAUAUUUAUUAGCCAUUUACACAAAUUACUAACGACAAGUAGGAAUAACUGCUACAUCUGGACAUAAAUAUUUUAAGAAAAAUAUAAUAACAUUAUCAACAUUUCCAAUAGUAAGGCAAGUAUUGAUUUAAUAAAUUAUAAAAUAAACAUAAUUUUACAUAAUAUCAUGUAUAUCAUAUUAUCAGUCAAAUUAGCUUAAUAUGUAGUUUGUGUUGUGGUAUAGUAAGUCCCAUCAUUGAAGAGAGACUUUACAAUGCUGUCUUUUAAUAUCCAAAUUCUUUCCUCGUGUCCAAACUUUCCAAACAUUACGUCCUGGCGUGAGUCCAUCUGGAGAAGGUGUCGACAGUCUACGACAUGAGCGAUGAAACGCUAUCUGCAGCCGCAGAUGUUUGUGCGAUAUCAUCUCGGAGGUGCCCAGCUGUCUUCCGCUGAUCUUCUCUCCUCCGAAACAGAGCGAGCUCUCAGAUACGUUUUUUCUUCUUUUUAUGAUGAAUCUACAUAUUUCAUCUCUCCAGGGUGGAAGACGCAUUAUUGGGAAGUACUCGAUCUCUGCCUCCAUUUCCUGUCGGCCCUAAUGGCUUCCAGGUGAGAGGUGUUCCCCCGGCCCUCGCCUGGGAGUGCUUAUUAAAACUGUUUUCCUAUUGAUUCAGUUGGUUUGAUACUCACCAGAUUUGACAAAGCAAAGAUCUCAUGUUUGGCGUAAUAUUACAAGGGAAACAUAAGUGAGUUAUUUGGCCUUGCCGUGGAAACGUGACGUUGUUAAAGCACAGGCCCCUGAAACCUGAGAUGGGGAGAAGGUGGGAGGGGGGCGCAUUUGGUUUCCAUUAUUUGUUUUUUGCUCUAAAGAAACGUUAACAACAGCACCCAGGGAUUAAGUCAUGGUGCAGGUCGCGGCCAAGCCAAACAUCCUGCCUCCUCCAGAAGAACGAAGACAGAUGAAGAAGGGAAGCAGGUGUAAAGUGGACUCCAGCACCUCGCGUUCUCGGCCUCUCCGGGAGGUGUUGUGUGCACAAAGUCUGUCCUCCAAAAUCUACUCGCCCGAGCACUGAGGAGGAGGAGGAGGAGGAGGAGGAGGAGGAGGAGGAGGAAACGAUUUCCAUAUUCCUGCACACACUGAACACUGUUCAUGGGAACUGUUAAAGGAUUCUGAUGGUGUGUUUAAUGGGAGGGGAGUCUGCUCCCGCCUCUGUAUUUAUUAGACUGGUUUCAUGCCUCUGUGUGUGUGUGUGUGUGUGUGUGUGUGGCCUGUUAUGCAUCAAGGGCUGGAUUUAUGAUUCAGGGUCUUGUGGUUCUGUGAUGGUGCAGGGUCACCGCAACACACGCAAAGUAUGAAUCUGUGCGUUGCUUAUUUAUGGCCUGCACUGUAUGUGGGUGUCAUGUUUUUUAUCCCUCUGGUCCUGCAGAGUGAAGCAGAUGUGGCAGUUUCAUUAAGCUGUUUUUUCUCUGGUGACCACCAGGGGGCGACUCCUCUGGUCCUGUAGAACUCAAUGAGAAAAUUACUCUACUUCUCUCUUGAUUUAUGUCCUCAGUAAACAUUGUAAACAUUAUUUUAUGGUCUCAGUCUCUAGUUCCAAGUCUUCCUCAAUACAGCAUGAUGUUCAUUCAGUAAAUGAUGGUCUAUUUAGAGUCAAACAGACCAUAAAGCAGGGGAUGCUUUAGGGCGGAGCUACGGGGUGAUUGACAGGUCUGAACCGCAGACAUAUACGUGGUCUAUAUGUCCUCCUCAGCUCAGAUGUGGGGUUACGCCUCCCCGUCAGCCCUGAACACUGCUUCACAACUAAACACACACACACAGAGAGAAAUCCAAAAGUGAGCCUGUAGUUGUAUCACGAUGACAUCAUCACCUCACAGGAAACGGUCUAAUUCUUUAAGAGCACAGUGACAUCAUAACCCCAUUCCAAUCGCCGCCCAAACCAAACACACCUGCACUCGCUCUACGACCCCCACCGCCCCUCCCUCCCCCACCCGUGACAGAUUAGGAAAUAUUUCAAUGAUUACUAGAAUCUAAACAUCAGCAGAUUAUUUUGACCUUCUCCCCUUCUGUACCUCUCGAAUCAAUCAGAUGAAAAUGAACACUUUAAACAUGACGUACGGUUUUGUGGCUCUUAAUUUGUUUUUCACUGUGUUAUAAUUUUUGCAUGACAUUUUUAUGACAUGCUAUGCUUUUACCAUGACUUCAAAUAUCCUGCUAUUGCAUGACUUUCUAAUGGCAUGCUAUAUACUUUUAGUUGUCACGAUGACAUACUAUACUAUUAAAUACUAUACAUUCUAUUCAAUUGCCUGGUAGGACUUUUUAUGAUGUAUUACACAAUAACCUUUUAUGAGUUUUUGGUAAUGAGUAAUUAUGAGUUCAUUUUGAAACUGCAUAAUUUAAAAUUAUAUUUUUAUAAUUUGCUCUACUGUGAGUUAUUGAGACAUAAGACAUAAGUUUCCAUGACUUCCAUGAAUGAUUCACUGUACAAUGGCCUUUAACGACUGUUUUGUGGAAUGCGUCUGACCUUCUAUGACUUGAAUGAAUCAAAAUAAUAUAUUGGUACAUAAUAUUUCUUGAUGACGAUAAUGCUAAAACCCUUUACGUUUUUUACCAUAUAAUACUUUUCAUGACAUAUUAGAUUAUAACUUUUUAUUACCCAUUUAUGACUUUUUAAGUCUACACUAUGGAUUUCUAUAUAUUUCAUAUGUAUCAUUUUAGAGACCCUAACUUUUGUACCCUACUAAUUGUAAAGAAUUUCAACAGAACAGACAUCUUAUGUAAAUAAAAUCAUAAAAAGGGUGUGCAUGUUAAGAAAAGAAAUGAAAUUAUAUUAUUAUGUUAAACAAAAAUCAUAAAAAAGUAUACAUUAUGUCAAAAAUAAGUAAUAAAGUGAGUACUAAAUAUUGAAAAUAAGUCAUAAAAGGUUCCUAGUAUAGAAUGUCACAUAAAAAUAAAUAAAUGACGUGUUUAUACACGCGGACGUCAAAGUUUACUUUGCAUUCUUCAGUUUAACUCAUCUUAAGAAGCUUUUUAAAACAAGAGCCUGUUGACAGCCGAGAGUUCAAGCCAAAUGUAAUCUUUAUUAGACUGUUUCUGUACAAAAAGCACUGGAUCACAGGAAAAAAAACAAAAAAAGACAUGCAUCUAUUUACAGCAUGGCCAGAGACGGAAAAGAAAGAAAGCUGUUUGUACUCUAAAGACAUUAAUUAAACAUUGUGCUUUGAUAUACUUUGAUGAUAUAUUUCAUAUUUCACAAAGAUGCAGUACCUCUGCCCUCUUUCACAUUGAAGUAAAACAUCGAGUAAAAGUAAAACUUUUGCCGUUUUUAACGACCUCGGCCGGGAGAACCAGGACGGUGAGAAGCAAAAACUUUCUACAAACUGUGACCAAAGUAAAAAUAAAAUAAGACGGUUUGAGAGGUGGAGGCGGACGGAGAGGUUGGAGGCGGACGGAGGCCGGCUGCGUUCCCUCAGUGUCGCUGAGACCAAUGGCUUCUCCUAAAGACACUGGGCAGAUGUUCAGCUGAUGUUGUGCAGAGGCCGAAGCGUCUGGAUUUGCAUAAAGUCAAAAGUCCAAAACUUGGGAUUCUCCUUCACUCACGUGAUGGAUCUUAUGGCGCACAGAUGUUCCAAAUGAAGCAACAUUGGCUCGGAAAUUUCACGUAAUGGCAAAGCCGUUUAAUAGUUUUGUUGUAAAAGUUUGAGAUUCUGAGGAAUUCACAUUUCUUUUGGUUGAUUUUAUGAUUUUUUUCUCAUUUUUGUCCACUUUAAAUAUAUAUAUACACAUUAUAUAUAUAUAUA
Molecule: long non-coding RNA, 11310 nt
Organism: Gasterosteus aculeatus aculeatus (three-spined stickleback)
Lineage: Eukaryota; Metazoa; Chordata; Actinopteri; Perciformes; Gasterosteidae
Source: Ensembl